AUUGAACGCUGGCGGCAUGCCUUGCACAUGCAAGUCGAACGGUAACAGGUCUUCGGAUGCUGACGAGUGGCGAACGGGUGAGUAAUACAUCGGAACGUGCCUAGUAGUGGGGGAUAACUACUCGAGAGAGUGGCUAAUACCGCAUGAGAUCUACGGAUGAAAGCAGGGGAUCGCAAGACCUUGUGCUACUAGAGCGGCCGAUGGCAGAUUAGGUAGUUGGUGGGAUAAAAGCUUACCAAGCCGACGAUCUGUAGCUGGUCUGAGAGGACGAUCAGCCACACUGGGACUGAGACACGGCCCAGACUCCUACGGGAGGCAGCAGUGGGGAAUUUUGGACAAUGGGCGAAAGCCUGAUCCAGCAAUGCCGCGUGCAGGAUGAAGGCCUUCGGGUUGUAAACUGCUUUUGUACGGAACGAAAAGCCCCGGGUUAAUACCCUGGGGUCAUGACGGUACCGUAAGAAUAAGCACCGGCUAACUACGUGCCAGCCGCCGCAGUAA
Molecule: ribosomal RNA, 498 nt
Filed under: uncultured bacterium
Lineage: Bacteria
Description: partial 16S ribosomal RNA
Rfam family: Bacterial small subunit ribosomal RNA
Source: RNAcentral